Molecule: ribosomal RNA, 253 nt
Filed under: uncultured bacterium
Lineage: Bacteria
Description: partial 16S ribosomal RNA
Rfam family: Bacterial small subunit ribosomal RNA
Source: RNAcentral
GACAGAGGGUGCAAACGUUGUUCGGAAUUAUUGGGCGUAAAGGGCUCGUAGGCGGUCUGUUGCGUCGGGAGUGAAAACUUACAGCUUAACUGUGAGCGUGCUUCCGAUACGGGCAGACUUGAGGUAUUCAGGGGAGAACGGAAUUCCUGGUGUAGCGGUGAAAUGCGCAGAUAUCAGGAGGAACACCGGUGGCGAAGGCGGUUCUCUGGGAAUAUCCUGACGCUGAGGAGCGAAAGUGUGGGGAGCGAACAGG